CCCCUUCCACAAACACGCGACCCCGCUUAUAUUCCAUUUGCUAGCGCUUGCGUUGGCUAUGGCGAUAAACGAACAUCGAAAUAAACCAUUCGGACCCGGGGGCGGUACCCGGCGCCUCCACCUGAGAUCAUAAAGUUGAAUCGUGAUUUCAGGCGGGGGCGAAAUAGGAUCGACGAGGGCGUAAAGGGUGAUUUUUUGCUCGGCAUGAUA
RNAcentral lists this transfer-messenger RNA (210 nucleotides) under Methylocystaceae bacterium. Its description in RNAcentral is "partial transfer-messenger RNA". It matches the Rfam family "Alphaproteobacteria transfer-messenger RNA", at positions 1 to 203 of the family's 355-position model. Rfam says of the family: Bacterial tmRNA, also known as 10Sa RNA or SsrA, is named for its dual tRNA and mRNA-like properties. Its role is to liberate the mRNA from a stalled ribosome. To accomplish this part of the tmRNA is used as a reading frame that ends in a translation stop signal. The record is from RNAcentral. Lineage: Bacteria; Pseudomonadati; Pseudomonadota; Alphaproteobacteria; Hyphomicrobiales; Methylocystaceae.